UCUCCCUUCUUGAGUGUUUCUUUUGCUAGACGGUGGGCUUCUGUGUUUUCUUACCUCGGGAUAAAAUAAAAUCUAAUUUCUUGAUAGUGAUCCUUUAAGCUUUGAAUAUCAUUGAUUAUUGCCCCUAUUUCUGAUAUGUCUCGACUUGUAUUUUGGCAUUUUGUAAUCACUGUUCUUGAGUCUCCGAUUAUAUCUAAAGUAUGAUAGCCCAACUGAAUCCCUAACCUUAUUGCUUGAAAACCUGCAAAUGCUUCCGCCGUGAAUGGAGAUGCAAUAUUUUCAUGAAGGGUCAACUUUACUGCAACGAUCCUACGCUCCUCAUUUCUAACAACUAGGCCUGACGCAGAUCUGGAAUUCUAUUAACCAGAGCCCGCAACAGAAACCCAUGCAUUGUUCGUUUGUCCCUUGGCUGAAAACCCAAGGCACAGAUGGAAAACAUGGAAACUAUCUUCUCCUUCCUGACCGCAUCUCGAACAUCGAUCCUCAGCCAUCACUUUUCGCAGCUUCAGAUUGGAGAAAAUGGGAAUGUAAUUCCACGCUAUUUUUCAUACUGUAAUCUUAAUUUUUAAGGGCAUAUGUAAAUUCCAUAGUUUUCUGUAGAAAUUUUUAGUAUCGGUCUGUAAAUAAACACUAGGAUCAAUUAUAGCUUUCUGUAAUAGUUUAUAGGCACUCCUUACUGAAAAGUCACCAGUUGCCUCCCCUCUCCAUACUUGGAUGUCUUUAUGGAUUAACUUUGAAAGCGGAAUCUGUAGUAUUUUCCUAGUGAUAUCCGAGUUAAAGUCAUUCUCGGCACCCAUAGAUCAUUCCAUACUGAAAUGUGGUCUCCUUUACCAACUCUUUAGCAUAAUCCAUCUGUGAGGAGUUUUUUUGUUGACCAAAUACUCCUCCAGGUAAGUGAAGGUAAGUUACUCAAAGAAGCAUUUAAGAAGUUUGUUGUUGAAAAAUAUUUCGCUUUUAAAACUCGGGCUAAUAAAGAACUCGGAUAAUUAAAAAGACGCCAACCUUGUUUUGCCAGCAAAGCUAUGUUAAAUUUAUCAAGACUUCUAAAACCUAACCCACCCAAUUCUUUUUCAAUGCAAAUAUCCUUCCAAGCACACCAAUGGAUCCCUUUUUUCCCCUUAUUUUUCUGCCACCAAUAUUUUGCAAUAAUACCAUCUAAUUCCUUGCAAAAAGAUUUAGGGAGUAAAAAACACGUCAUUGAGUAGGUUGG
Molecule: long non-coding RNA, 1210 nt
Organism: Gossypium raimondii (Peruvian cotton)
Lineage: Eukaryota; Viridiplantae; Streptophyta; Magnoliopsida; Malvales; Malvaceae
Exons: 4
Source: RefSeq, a predicted model, not a curated record